This 4175-nucleotide ribosomal RNA is filed under the name Pseudozyma sp. RNAcentral describes it as "large subunit ribosomal RNA". The stretch from base 1 to 2436 matches the Rfam family "Bacterial large subunit ribosomal RNA", at positions 430 to 2925 of the family's 2925-position model. The record is from RNAcentral. Lineage: Eukaryota; Fungi; Basidiomycota; Ustilaginomycetes; Ustilaginales; Ustilaginaceae.
AGCCUUGUAUGAAUAAGGGGGUACCAUCCUCCAAGGCUAAGUAUAACAUAUCUAGCGAUAGUGAAGAGUAACGUGAGUGAAAGGUGAAAAGUAAGUAGAUGACUAGUGAAAUAGAACCUGAACUAGUAAUCCUAUAAGCAGUUGGAGUUUUUAGUAAAAAUGACAACGUACCUUUUGCAUAAUGGGUCAGCGAGUUAGUUUAUAGAGCAAGAUGAAUAAUCUAAGCGAAAGCGACUGUAAUAAGUGGAUCAAAAAUAGUUUUAUGAACUAGACCCGAAGCCAAAUGAUCUUACCAUGACCAGGCUAAAAAAGGGCCGAACAGGUGAAUGUUGCAAAAUUCUCUGAUGAGUUGUGGUAAGGGGUGAAAGGCCAAUCUAAUUUGGAUGAUAGCUGGUAUUCUGCGAAACCUAUUUAGGUAGGGCCUUUAUUUACACUUUUAUAUGUACAGCACUGAUCAUCAUACAUUAGCUAGAUAUUUAUAUCACUAUGUUAAAUUGGGGGGUUUCACAACUCUACCAUUGAUGGUUAACCUCGGAAGGAUAAUAGUGAAUGAUAAAGGCACAGUCUAUUCAUGAUAAGGUGGAUAGACAAAAGGGAAACAGCCCAGAGCACGUGUUAAGGUCCCAAAAUAUUGUUAAGUGAAUAUAAGAAAGUUUAACUCCUAAUACAACCAUGAAGUAGGCUUGGAGGUAGCCAUCUUUUAAUGAUAGUGUAACAACUCAGUGGUCUAAUUUGAGGAGAGAAGCGUCGAAAAUUAACGGGUCUUAGACAAUAUACCUACACCGUGACUAUUUAUAAUAAUAUCUCUUUUAUUAUAAAUAAGGGUAGCAGAACACUCAGUAUCUGAUUGAAGGAAAAUGUUUCAUUUUCUGGACAGUACUGAAGAGAAAAUGCUGACAUGAGUAACGUAGAAAGGAGUUAAAACACUCCUCGCCGAAUACGAGAGGGUUUCAUGGAGAAGUUAAUCUGCCAUGAGUUAUGCGGACUCUAAGGAAAAUAGGCGAAUGUCUAUAUCUGAUGAGAACUACUUGAAUUACACUGAAUUAUCUAUAUAUAAUAAUUAUUUUAUUCAUUUGUAUGUAAAUUUGCAGAGUUAGAAUAAUUAGAUCAAGAAAAAUAAGUGUCACUAUAUAAAUAGUGAAUCCGUACCCUAAACCGACACAGGUUCGUAGGUAGAGAAUACUAAGGCGUAGAGAUAAUGCUUGUGAAGGAACUCGGCAAAUUGUGCCCGUAAGUUAGACGAUAAGGGUAACCAGAAUAAAUAAUUAUAUUAAAAAUUCUGAGUGUCACAAAAUCGAGGGCUGCGACUGUUUACCAAAAACACAGCAACUUGCUAAGACGAAUAGUACUUGUAUAAGUUGUGAACUCUGCCCAAUGCCAUGUCGUGUAAAGAAGGUGAUCUAUUUAUUAAUUUCUAAUAAUAGAGUCACUAACUGAUGCCAUGGUGAAUGGCGGUCUUAACUAUAAGGAUCUGAAAGUAGCGAAAUUCCUUGGCCAUUAAAUGUGGUCCUGCAUGAAUGAGGUAACGUGGCCCUGCUGUCUCCACAAGCAUCUCAGUGAAAUUGAAUUAGCCGUGCAGAUGCGGUUUACCUUCAGUUAGACGGGAAGACCCUAUGCAGCUUUACUGUAACUUGAUAUUGUUUCUUCUAUAGCUAGGUGUAGUAUACAAGGGAGUAAAUAUUUUUUACAUCAGUGAAAUACCUUGACUAGUCUAAAGAAGAAACUUACCUGUAAUUUUCUAGUAGUACUACAUCUUAUAAAAAAGGAUCUUCAAUUUACAUUUAUAAGAUAGUCUUCUAUAAAUAAAAUUUUUAAUUUGAAUAGAGAUAUAGAAUAUUUUUAUUUUCAUAGAGUUAUUCUAUGGCUAUAUUAUAAGAACUUUGAGUAGUUUAAUAGCUAUUCUAUAAAGUCUUCUAUGAUAUUUAUAGGAACAAUUUUUUUUUUAAUUUACUAAAUUAAAAAUCAUAGGAAAAUUGUUCUAUAAGAUGUCAGGAAAUGAUUAAAUGGGAAAAUAUCAGGUGGUCAGUUUGACUGGGACGGUAGCCUCUAAUAAAGUAUCAGAGGCCUUCAAAGGUAUGCAUAUAUUGGUCAGAAACCAAUGAACUAUGUAAAGUUUAUUAAAGCGUAAUAGUGUAAGCAUGCUUGACUGAAAGACUGAUAGGUCAAUCAGAUACGCAAGUAGGAUAUAGUGAUCCGGUGAUUCAUAAUGGAAUGGUCAUCGCUCAAGAAAUAAAAGUUACGCUAGGGAUAACAGGUUUAUCGUUUGCGAGAGUUCAUAUUGUCCAAACGGUUUGACACCUCGAUGUCGACUCAUCUCAUCCUCCAGGUGCAGUAGCUUGGAAGGGUUCAGCUGUUCGCUGAUUAAAGAGGUACGCGAGUUGGGUUCAAUACGACGUGAAAUUAAAAAUAAAUUAUUGAUCUCCCAACCAUAACGCAUUAGGUUAAUUCAAAUAAAAGUUUAUUUAGCAGCAGCAAAUAUAGUAAAUAUAUAAAAAUUGAAAUUUACAUAAUGACAACAGCACUAAUCAAAAUUAUGAAGCGAAUUCAUUUCAAUUCUUUUAACUUUUUUAUUCCAAUUACAACUAUUACUAAAUAUCCUAUCUUUAUAAAAUCUCUAAUUCAACGAAUUAAAGAUAUCCAAGAACGUUAUUCACUAUCUAAAAAUAUUCUUAUUUAUGAUCUAAAUACAGAUAAAACUAAAGCUCAAUUUGAACUUAGCAAUAAAGGCGGUGUUUAUGUACUUUGGUGUAAAAGUACUGGUAUGUUUUAUGUAGGUUCUGCUCUUCGAUUCUUUACUAAUAAAGGUCGACUAACAGAUUACUUCAUGCUAGGACGUGUUAAAGCUAGUCUAGAAGGUAAUAGUACAAAAGUAAGUAAAGAUCUAGCAUUUGCUAUUUCUACUUAUGGAAUUGAAAAUUUUACACUACUAGUUCCUCAACUAGAAGUUUCUAACAAACUUGAUAAAUCAAUCAUUCAAAACUGGGAACAGCUAUGGAUGAUGCUUAAUCCAACACUAAAUCGUAGUCUUAUGGUAUCAAGUAAUAGUGGAAGUAUAAUGUCUGAAGAGAAUCGAAUGAAAAUCAGCACUAUGUUUUAUCAAUAUGAAAUUGAUAGAGAUAAUGCUAUUAUUCCUAAUACUGAAAAGAUUCUAUUUGGACUUAAGGAAACUAGUCGAAUUGGGAUCACUAGUGCUAAUAAUAAACACUAUUCAAUUCAGUAUGAUACUCUAAAAGGACAUUAUGAGAAAAAAAUGAUUUGGACUACAUCAGGACAUAAAUUUUACUUUACAGAUGAACCUCUUACAGAUGGUUUUAUUCUAAAUCCUGUAACUGGUAACACAGAACUUACAAAUAACCGAUCUCGUGGUAUUUGGGUUUAUGAUGCCAACACUAAAGAACUUCUUAGUUAUGAGAAAAAUGUAAAAGAAUGUGAACUGAAAUACAAUAUUAGUCGUACUCAUCUAAAACGAGUACGUAAAUAUAAUCAAGUCUACCAAGGUAAACUAUUCAGUAAUAAUAAACUGUAAUUAAAUCCCCCUUAAUGUUUGCACAUAAAUAAACAAAAUAAAAAUAAACAUAAGAUAAGACUCGCGUCGUAAGGAAACUGUAUGCUGGAACACCUUUAUAGUUCUUAGUACUAGAAAUUAUUCAGUAAAAAUCUAAGAAAUUAGGCAAUCAGCAGGAAACCAAAGUUAAGUAUAUUAACAAGUAGGAUCCUCAGAGACUAUGUGUUUCCAUCUUAAGAAUAAUAAGAUAAGAUAUAGUCCGAACUAAUUAGAGAUAAUUAGAAGUAAUAUUCUGAAUAUUACGAUAACAUUCAAAUAGGCCAUACCAUAAGUAUUCUAUAAAUUAGAGUAUUUAUGUAUUAGGAGUCAGUAUGGUCCCUAUCUUCUGAAGGAAAAAGUAAUCGAUUAAGGACCUCCGGUUAGUACGAAAGGACCGCUGGGGAUGAUUCCAUGGUGUACCUAUUGUUACGUCUUUAGAUAUAGCACCGUAGGGUAGCCACAAUCAUGACAGAUAAGCGCUGAAAGCAUCUUAAGCACGAAGCACACCUUAUUAGAUUACAAGAAAUAGGAAGAAGACUACUUCUUUGUAUUUUACUUAUUAUUUUUAUAGUUUAUAAACUAUCUAUAUAAUUCUAUGUAAAUACAUAUAGGGUGCAAAUGUAAGUAUAGU